RNAcentral lists this ribosomal RNA (817 nucleotides) under Phytophthora ohioensis (nom. inval.). RNAcentral's name for it is "eukaryotic LSU rRNA". It matches the Rfam family "Eukaryotic large subunit ribosomal RNA", at positions 40 to 685 of the family's 3401-position model. Lineage: Eukaryota; Oomycota; Peronosporomycetes; Peronosporales; Peronosporaceae. The record is from RNAcentral.
AUAUUAAUAAGCGGAGGAAAAGAAACUAACAAGGAUUCCCCUAGUAACGGCGAGUGAAGCGGGAAGAGCUCAAGCUUAAAAUCUCCGUGCAAGUUUUGUGCGGCGAAUUGUAGUCUAUAGAGGCGUGGUCAGCGUGGGCGCUUGGGGCAAGUUCCUUGGAAGAGGACAGCAUGGAGGGUGAUACUCCCGUUCAUCCCUGAGUGGCUCGUGCGUACGACCCGUUUUCUUUGAGUCGCGUUGUUUGGGAAUGCAGCGCAAAGUAGGUGGUAAAUUCCAUCUAAAGCUAAAUAUUGGUGCGAGACCGAUAGCGAACAAGUACCGUGAGGGAAAGAUGAAAAGAACUUUGAAAAGAGAGUUAAAGAGUACCUGAAACUGCUGAAAGGGAACCGAAUCGUUUCCAGUGUCUAUAAUCCGUGACAUAUUUCAUUGGCGAGUGUGUGCGUGCGUGUGCUGUGGCAGUGGCUUUUUUGGCUGCGCUCGGUGUGUGUGCUGUGUGUGCUUGCUGGUGCCCUGUGCUGCGGUGGGACGUCAAGGUCAGUUCUUAUGCUGCGGGAAAUGGCUGCCGAGGAGGUAGGGCUUACGCUUGCGUUUGUCUGUUAUAUCUUGGUGGACGAGUAGUCGCGGUUGGGACUGAGGUGCCUACAACGUGCUUUUGAGUGGGUUUGUGUCUCCGUGUGCGCCGUGUGCGGAUAGCUUGCUAUGCGUGUGUGGUUGUGUGUGGAUUGAUGCGGGCUUUAACUUGUUGCCGUUCGGGACGUUGACGAAAUGGAGCGAUCCGACCCGUCUUGAAACACGGACCAAGGAGUCUAACAUGUGU